This 450-nucleotide ribosomal RNA is filed under the name uncultured bacterium. Its description in RNAcentral is "bacterial SSU rRNA". It matches the Rfam family "Bacterial small subunit ribosomal RNA", at positions 30 to 517 of the family's 1533-position model. The record is from RNAcentral.
AUUGAACGCUGGCGGUAUGCUUAAGACAUGCAAGUCGAACGGUAACAGGUUAAGCUGACGAGUGGCGGACGAGUGAGUAACGCGUGGGAAUCUACCUUGUAGUGGGGGAUAAGCCAGGGAAACUUGGACUAAUACCGCAUACGCCCUAAGGGGGAAAGGCGCAAGUCGCUAUAAGAUGAGCCCGCGUCUGAUUAGGUAGUUGGUGGGGUAAAGGCCUACCAAGCCGACGAUCAGUAGCUGGUCUGAGAGGAUGAUCAGCCACGUCGGGACUGAGACACGGCCCGGACUCCUACGGGAGGCAGCAGUCGGGAAUAUCGGACAAUGGGGGAAACCCUGAUCCAGCAAUACCGCGUGUGUGAAGAAGGCCUGCGGGUUGUAAAGCACUUUCAGUUGGGAAGAUAAUGACGCUACCAACAGAAGAAGCACCGGCUAACUCCGUGCCAGCAGCCG